CAUGUAGGCGGCUUGGUAAGUCGGAUGUGAAAGUCCCGGGCUCAACCCGGGAAGUGCAUUCGAAACUGCUAGGCUUGAGUAAGAGAGAGGAAAGUGGAAUUCCUGGUGUAGAGGUGAAAUUCGUAGAUAUCAGGAGGAACACCGGUGGCGAAGGCGGCUUUCUGGCUCUAUACUGACGCUGAGACGCGAAAGCGUGGGUAGCAAACAGGAUUAGAUACCCUGGUAGUCC
RNAcentral lists this ribosomal RNA (229 nucleotides) under uncultured bacterium. RNAcentral's name for it is "partial 16S ribosomal RNA". It matches the Rfam family "Bacterial small subunit ribosomal RNA", at positions 568 to 796 of the family's 1533-position model. The record is from RNAcentral.